Molecule: ribosomal RNA, 253 nt
Filed under: uncultured bacterium
Lineage: Bacteria
Description: partial 16S ribosomal RNA
Rfam family: Bacterial small subunit ribosomal RNA
Source: RNAcentral
UACGAAGGGGGCUAGCGUUGCUCGGAAUCACUGGGCGUAAAGCGUGCGUAGGUGGUUUUUUAAGUCCGUUGUGAAAGCCCUGGGCUCAACCUGGGAAUGGCAGUGGAUACUGGAAAGCUAGAGUGCGGUAGAGGGUAGUGGAAUUCCCGGUGUAGCAGUGAAAUGCGUAGAGAUCGGGAGGAACACCAGUGGCGAAGGCGGCUACCUGGACCAGCACUGACACUGAGGCACGAAAGCGUGGGGAGCAAACAGG